GUUGGGCAGGGUGGCUCCUGUCUGUAAUCCCAGUAACUCAGGAGGCUGAGGCAGGAGGAUGGCAAGUCUGAGGCCAGCCUGAGCAAUUUAGUGAGACCCUGUCUCAA
RNAcentral lists this small RNA (107 nucleotides) under Marmota monax (woodchuck). The record is from RNAcentral. Lineage: Eukaryota; Metazoa; Chordata; Mammalia; Rodentia; Sciuridae.